Molecule: ribosomal RNA, 663 nt
Filed under: uncultured bacterium
Lineage: Bacteria
Description: bacterial SSU rRNA
Rfam family: Bacterial small subunit ribosomal RNA
Source: RNAcentral
CAGCCUUCUGAAAGGAAGAUUAAUCCAGGAUGGCAUCAUGAGUUCACAUGUCCGCAUGAUUAAAGGUAUUUUCCGGUAGACGAUGGGGAUGCGUUCCAUUAGAUAGUAGGCGGGGUAACGGCCCACCUAGUCAACGAUGGAUAGGGGUUCUGAGAGGAAGGUCCCCCACAUUGGAACUGAGACACGGUCCAAACUCCUACGGGAGGCAGCAGUGAGGAAUAUUGGUCAAUGGGCGAUGGCCUGAACCAGCCAAGUAGCGUGAAGGAUGACUGCCCUAUGGGUUGUAAACUUCUUUUAUAAAGGAAUAAAGUCGGGUAUGCAUACCCGUUUGCAUGUACUUUAUGAAUAAGGAUCGGCUAACUCCGUGCCAGCAGCCGCGGUAAUACGGAGGAUCCGAGCGUUAUCCGGAUUUAUUGGGUUUAAAGGGAGCGUAGAUGGAUGUUUAAGUCAGUUGUGAAAGUUUGCGGCUCAACCGUAAAAUUGCAGUUGAUACUGGAUGUCUUGAGUGCAGUUGAGGCAGGCGGAAUUCGUGGUGUAGCGGUGAAAUGCUUAGAUAUCACGAAGAACUCCGAUUGCGAAGGCAGCCUGCUAAGCUGCAACUGACAUUGAGGCUCGAAAGUGUGGGUAUCAAACAGGAUUAGAUACCCUGGUAGUCCACACGGU